This 486-nucleotide ribosomal RNA is filed under the name uncultured bacterium. Its description in RNAcentral is "bacterial SSU rRNA". It matches the Rfam family "Bacterial small subunit ribosomal RNA", at positions 30 to 507 of the family's 1533-position model. The record is from RNAcentral.
AUUGAACGCUGGCGGCAUGCUUUACACAUGCAAGUCGAACGGCAGCACGGGUGCUUGCACCUGGUGGCGAGUGGCGAACGGGUGAGUAAUGCAUCGGAACGUGCCCAUGAGUGGGGAUAGCCCGGCGAAAGCCGGAUUAAUACCGCAUACGCCCGUUAGGGGGAAAGCGGGGGAUCUUCGGACCUCGCGCUAUUGGAGCGGCCGAUGUCGGAUUAGCUAGUAGGUGAGGUAAAGGCUCACCUAGGCGACGAUCCGUAGCUGGUCUGAGAGGAUGAUCAGCCACACUGGGACUGAGACACGGCCCAGACUCCUACGGGAGGCAGCAGUGGGGAAUUUUGGACAAUGGGCGCAAGCCUGAUCCAGCCAUGCCGCGUGAGUGAAGAAGGCCUUCGGGUUGUAAAGCUCUUUCAGGUGGAAAGAAAUAGCGCUGUUUAAUAGAUGGCGUUGAUGACGGUACCACCAGAAGAAGCACCGGCUAACUACGUG